CGAGGACGACGCUGGCGGCGUGCUUAACACAUGCAAGUCGAACGGUGAAGGGAAGCUUGCUUCCCGGAUCAGUGGCGAACGGGUGAGUAACACGUGGGCAAUCUGCCCCAGACUUUGGGAUAACUACUCGAAAGAGUAGCUAAUACCGAAUAUUCAGCCUUGCAGGCAUCUGCGAGGCUGGAAAGUUUCUCGGUCUGGGAUGAGCCCGCGGCCUAUCAGCUAGUUGGUGAGGUAAUGGCUCACCAAGGCGACGACGGGUAGCCGGCCUGAGAGGGCGACCGGCCACACUGGGACUGAGACACGGCCCAGACUCCUACGGGAGGCAGCAGUGGGGAAUAUUGCGCAAUGGGCGAAAGCCUGACGCAGCAACACCGCGUGCGGGAUGAAGGCCUUCGGGUUGUAAACCGCUUUCAGCAGGGAAGAAGCGAAAGUGACGGUACCUGCAGAAGAAGCACCGGCUAACUACGUG
This 469-nucleotide ribosomal RNA is filed under the name uncultured bacterium. Its description in RNAcentral is "bacterial SSU rRNA". It matches the Rfam family "Bacterial small subunit ribosomal RNA", at positions 33 to 507 of the family's 1533-position model. The record is from RNAcentral.